Molecule: transfer RNA, 64 nt
Filed under: bovine gut metagenome
Rfam family: tRNA
About the family: Transfer RNA (tRNA) molecules are approximately 80 nucleotides in length. Their secondary structure includes four short double-helical elements and three loops (D, anti-codon, and T loops).
Source: RNAcentral
AUUAGCUCAGUUGGUAGAGCACCUGACUUUUAAUCAGGUUGUCGCGGGUUCAAAUCCCGCAUGU